RNAcentral lists this ribosomal RNA (465 nucleotides) under uncultured bacterium. Its description in RNAcentral is "partial 16S ribosomal RNA". It matches the Rfam family "Bacterial small subunit ribosomal RNA", at positions 28 to 507 of the family's 1533-position model. The record is from RNAcentral.
GACGAACGCUGGCGGCGUGCUUAACACAUGCAAGUCGAACGAAAAGACCACUUUCUUGGUACUCUGGUGGCGAACGGGGAAGUAACACGUGAAUAACCUUCCCUUAACUUCGGGAUAACGUUAGGAAACUGGGGCUAAUACCAGAAAGGAAUCCUUGCUGCAACGGGAUGGUUGAAAAGCUUCGGCGGUUUUGGAUGUACUCGCGGCGUAUCAGCUUGUUGGUUUGGUAGUGGGUUACCAAGGCGUUGACGGGUAGCGGCACUGAGAGGGCGACCGGCGACACUGGGACCGAGAGACGGCACAGACUCGGACGCGUCGCAGCAGUGCGGAAUCUUGCACAAUGAGCGCAGGCUUGAUGCUGCAGGGCUGCGUGCGGGAUGACGGCGUUAGGGUUGUAAACCGCUUGUAGAAGGGGCGAUGCUUGUGGUGACGGUACCUGCAGAAAAAGCCCCGGCUAACUACGUG